AUUGAACGCUGGCGGCAGGCCUAACACAUGCAAGUCGAACGAGUGGCGGACGGGUGAGUAAUGUCUGGGAAACUGCCUGAUGGAGGGGGAUAACUACUGGAAACGGUAGCUAAUACCGCAUACCAUCAGAUGUGCCCAGAUGGGAUUAGCUAGUUGGUGGGGUAACGGCUCACCCAGGCGACGAUCCCUAGCGGGUCUGAGAGGAUGACCGCCCACACGGGAACUGAGACACUGUCCAGUCUCCUAGGGGAGGCAGCAGGGGGGAAUAGGGCACAAUGGGCGAAAGGCUGAUGGAGCCAGGACGCGUGUAUGGAGAGGGCCUGCGGGUUGUAGAGUACUUUCAGCGGGGAGGCGUUACCCGCAGAAGAAGCACCGGCUAACUCCGUGCCAGCAGCCGCGGUAAUUC
RNAcentral lists this ribosomal RNA (406 nucleotides) under uncultured bacterium. RNAcentral describes it as "partial 16S ribosomal RNA". It matches the Rfam family "Bacterial small subunit ribosomal RNA", at positions 29 to 526 of the family's 1533-position model. The record is from RNAcentral.